Molecule: long non-coding RNA, 1447 nt
Organism: Gigantopelta aegis
Lineage: Eukaryota; Metazoa; Mollusca; Gastropoda; Neomphalida; Peltospiridae
Exons: 3
Source: RefSeq, a predicted model, not a curated record
UGAUAGACAAGACACUCGGGGAGUAUCCUCUAUAUUAUUAAACAUUUAAUUAUUUAAUAAAUCCAGAAAAAGUAAUGUUUCUUUCUUUUUUUUCUUCAGCCACGACAUGACGAGCAAGACAGCAUAUAUCUUCACAAGACAUCGGACAACCAAAUUACCUUUUUACCAGAUCAAAUAUUGUGAAAGAUAUUGUGGAAUGUUAUUCUAAGUGAAGGCGACCAUCAGUAUCAAAACCUUUCUCUGGUGUGCCAGAAAUGGAACAAAGUGUGUUCAAGUGGCAGUUUUCAGAAGAUGUGCCAUGUGAGUUGGCUUUAUAGCUUAAGACCACCAUCAUUUUGGGAAAAAGAACACAAUAUUAAAUUUCUCAAUACAUUUCAAGUCUUGAACUGGCUAGAAUGCGGAACUCGAUUCAAGUCCGAGGGUCCAGGAUUCUUUGGAGGACGUGGUGUUGCUGGACAUUAUAUAGGAUGGUAUGAAGAGCUCGAAUUUCAUGGUUAUUGUGGGAAGUUCUGCCAGAGGUAUAGAGAUAAUACCGUCCUACGGAAUUUAGAUGACAUUCGUGAAAACAUGGACCGAUCAUAUUAUCAACCAUAUUAGACAAGGUUAAGUUAGUCCUCGUUUGAUUCCCAUACCACAGCACAACCUUUGGUUGGUUGUGUCACAAACUCAUUAGCUUUACUUAUCAGUGUGUUUCUUGUUAUGUUCACAUCUAUGUAUUUCUGUGACCUACCAUAGCACAUUCAGUCAUAUCUCAUGGAAAAAGUGAUAUAAUUGACAUAAUAAAAUAUUUUACACUGCCUUAUUACUAAGGUCAGUGCCUUUAAUAUCCCAUAAAAUGAUGAUGAUGAUCACGGUGGGGUGAUUGUGAUGAUGCAUGACAAGAUGAUCAAAAUGAUUAUGAGGCUAAUAAUGCUGAUGGUGACAUUGAUAGUGCUACUUUAGCGUCAAACAAUUACAUUGGAAGUGCUACUUUACUAUUUAAUUCACCCAGUAAUGUAGCAGAUAUACAAAUAUUUAUAUUCUAAGCAAGAAAAUGUAAGGCAAUUAUAAUUUUUAUAAUUAAAAAAGUUAUAUUGAAUUAAAACAUGUUAAAAUGGUGUAAAAUUUUGGAUAGUCCCUUUAAUUCCCUUUAUAAUGUGCUAUUCUAAUGAAGACUAUUCUACACAAAUAUUUAUAUCUGAUCUAUAUAUAUAUAUAUAUUAACACUCAGUGGUCAUUCAUAUUUGUCAUAUUUUCUCAGAAAUAUUCUGCUAUAGUGUAACAUAUACUAAUUGGAUGAUUUGACCAUUACAAACCAAUGACCUUGUUUGUACUAAAUAUGACAUCAGUAGGACUUGGCAAACACAAAAUGAUGUCACGUAAUUUAUAGAAUGAGUUUAUGGCUUUUUGUUUUUAGUGUUAAACUUGUAAUGAAAUGUGUGGGGGUUUUGUUGGGUUUUUUUUUUUU